GACGAACGCUGGCGGCGUGCUUAACACAUGCAAGUCGAACGGAAAGGCCCUGCUUGCAGGGUACUCGAGUGGCGAACGGGUGAGUAACACGUGGGUGAUCUGCCCUGCACUUCGGGAUAAGCUUGGGAAACUGGGUCUAAUACCGGAUAGGAACCAUCUUUAGUGUGGUGGUUGGAAAGUUUUUUCGGUGUAGGAUGAGCUCGCGGCCUAUCAGCUUGUUGGUGGGGUAAUGGCCUACCAAGGCGGCGACGGGUAGCCGGCCUGAGAGGGUGUACGGCCACAUUGGGACUGAGAUACGGCCCAGACGCCUACGGGAGGCAGCAGUGGGGAAUAUUGCACAAUGGGCGCAAGCCUGAUGCAGCGACGCCGCGUGGGGGAUGAAGGCCUUCGGGUUGUAAACUCCUUUCGCUAGGGACGAAGCUUUUUGUGACGGUACCUAGAGAAGAAGCACCGGCUAACUACGUG
RNAcentral lists this ribosomal RNA (465 nucleotides) under uncultured bacterium. RNAcentral's name for it is "partial 16S ribosomal RNA". It matches the Rfam family "Bacterial small subunit ribosomal RNA", at positions 28 to 507 of the family's 1533-position model. The record is from RNAcentral.